RNAcentral lists this small RNA (29 nucleotides) under Bombyx mori (domestic silkworm). RNAcentral's name for it is "ovarian small RNA-29536". Lineage: Eukaryota; Metazoa; Arthropoda; Insecta; Lepidoptera; Bombycidae. The record is from RNAcentral.
UCUAUGGUUGAGUGGUGCUUCUGAAAGCC